GACGAACGCUGGCGGCGUGCUUAACACAUGCAAGUCGAGCGGUAAGGCCCUUUCGGGGGUACACGAGCGGCGAACGGGUGAGUAACACGUGGGUGACCUGCCCUUAGCUCUGGGAUAAGCCUGGGAAACUGGGUCUAAUACCGGAUAUGACUCCAUAAACGCAUGUUGUGGGGUGGAAAGCCUUGUGCGGCUAGGGAUGGGCCCGCGGCCGUAUCAGCUUGUUGGUGGGUGAUGGCCUACCAAGGCGACGACGGUAGCCGGCCUGAGAGGGCGACCGGCCACACUGGGACUGAGACACGGCCC
Molecule: ribosomal RNA, 303 nt
Filed under: uncultured bacterium
Lineage: Bacteria
Description: bacterial SSU rRNA
Rfam family: Bacterial small subunit ribosomal RNA
Source: RNAcentral